This is a long non-coding RNA of Ictalurus furcatus (blue catfish), 2676 nucleotides long. RefSeq lists it as uncharacterized. The transcript is spliced from 5 exons. The record is from RefSeq and is a predicted model, not a curated record. Lineage: Eukaryota; Metazoa; Chordata; Actinopteri; Siluriformes; Ictaluridae.
CUCCGCCUCAGCCCACAGAGUCAGAGGGAAACAGAUAAGUCACAUGUAGCUUACUACUUCACAGCACAAACUUAUUCUUAUCCCGAGACGAUGGACUACACGGCGAUUCAACUCUGGAAGUAAAAACGCUGAAAGGAAGACGGCUUGAGUGAAACAAGGUCGGAUUGCUCUUAUCAGGAAGGCCACAAAAGUUGUUGCCAUCAGAAAUGCCCAUCCACAGGCCUGAGGAAACAAAGAGAAAAUGUUUCUAUAUCAUCACUUGUCAAGCUCAGGAAACAUAAUUGUGACUAACGUUAGCUGGUGAGCCAUAAAAAAAUCGAGCUUGGUUUGACCAGUUACCAGUUGCCAAAACACAUAAGCUGGUAGACCAUCUUUGCCAGCUGCACUUACCAGCUGGCAAAACUGGCCUACUAAUCUGACCAGCUUGGCCUGUGUUUGGCUGCUGGUAGUUGGUCAGACCAAGCAGGAUUUUUCAGCAGGAGAUAUCCUUCAGUCCUGGUUACGUGUUCUUUUGUGGUCAGGUAAAACAUGGGUGCCGGUGGAGCGCAUGGUGGAAGUCCAUGUUCCUACAUUCAUACGUUAUGUUAGAUGCCAGACUCUCCUAGGUUGAAGGUACUUCAUAAAAAAUCAUAACGAAAUGAAUUUUUUAAAAAAUAUGAAAAUGAAUCAAGACAGAUCCAAAUAAACAAUAAAGUUCCAAUGAACAGUAAAGCUACACGUUCUCUUCCUCUAACUUGUUCAGUACUCGUAAUACAGAUUAAAUACGUGUGGGCAGAUGAUGUAAACUAUGGAUCUGGUCCAAUGUUAUUUUGGAACAAAGAGCAAGCUGAAUUUUCUCAACAUGAAUGUUGUGUGUAGUUUGUUAUCAGAUUGUCUAGAUGUAUAUCACACAUCUGAUGAACAAAGAUUUCCUCUCCCGCGCUGUAAUGAUGGCUGGAAACUAGGACUUAAUGUCAUAUACUGUAGAAAGGUCAUAUAGAACAUGGAGAAAUCUCAUUUAGCGCUUUGGGAGUGAAGUCACCUUUCACUUUGCUUUUUAUUCUGAUCACAACCAGACAGUUAUAUUGUUUCUGAGUUUAGUCUUUGUUUAGACUUUGUUGAUGCUGAAGAAGCAAAAGUCUAAGGAUCCCUUAACCUUCAGAUUAACGAUUUGCAAUUUCUGCACACAAUGCUUGAAAAGAAACACGUAUAACGAAGUUGAAACGGUAGAAAGGAGGUCUAUGAAUUAGUUAAUGGGCUAUUAAUCGCUAUUAAAGUAGUGCUUAAACAGAUACAUUGCAGACAAAUAUAGAUAUAGACCGUUUUAUUUUGUACAUGCAUAUGAACUUAAUCUUCACCUAUCAUCAUUCCCUGUUAACCAAAUCUGUCACCACCUAAUGAAACAGUUUAAGACACUAACCAAAGUAAGUAUACAAACUGAAGCUAUGAUAAAAGAACAAAAACAACUAACCUUUCUUAAAAAAAUUCCUAAAUCCUCUGACCAAGUAUACGGCUGUGCCAUCUGUCUAUUAAAUAAAUGCCAGUCCUUUAUGCUAAAAAAGAAGGAUCAAAAUAUUCUGCCAGUAGUUUGUACUGUGACUCAAAAAGUUGUCUUUCAUCUGACCUCUGAAAGCUAACUACUGUCCCAACUGCUGCUAACUACUGUCCCAACUACCGUACAAUAAUGAUAAUGCUCUUACACUUAAGAGGGCUGAUUGGAAGACCUUGUUAAAUAAUAUUAUGUUUCUUCCUUAUAAUGUCUUAUAUUUGAUAAAAUAUAUUCUUGUACAUCUCAGAUUACUUUUUGCCUUUUCUUAUAUGUUGACAUGUUAGACGUGUCAAUGGGCAAAGCUGGUGCGAAAGUGAUCCUGCACAAGGAUAUGCCUUUGUAACUGUAAGUGACUAGUCAACUUAAUCCUUCACAUGGUAUUCAUAAGGUGCCAUAGGUUUCUGCUACUCUAUGGAUCACACUGAAGUUUGAACAAAAUGGUUUGACUUAAUACCUGCAGCAGUAGUGUACAAGUCAUUUCUUCCUAAUUUGUUUAUUAACUUUUAUUGCAUGCCUAAAUGGAAUAAAAGUUGUUUGCCAGAUUCAGAUGCUCCUAAACAAAUUGUUAUAAAGUAUGAGUUGGUAACUUAUCAACAAAGGCUGUACUAUCGUUUCUAAUAUGAUGCCUUUAAAAUGGAAAAAUAUUUUCACCGAUAUAUUUCAGAGAAUUUUUUUACCCUAGUUUACACUAAAUGUCUAAUAUUCUGUUCUGUUGGAAAUAUGCCUCAACUGUUAAAAUAUUUUGAAACCUUUACAAAUAACUCUCCUGUUUCUAUACCUUUGGCUUAUAGUGUAUAUGACUGCUCACUGUCAUAAACCCAUACAAGGAAAUAAACAGUAAUCAUUUUGACUCCAGAUCAGGAGUGGGUAAAGACAUACUGGUGAUCUGAUCUAUAUUAUAUAUACGUACUUUAGAUAAUGCCUCUCUGAGGGCCAUGUUGGAAUGUUCCCAAGUCAAAGUACUCUAGAACUCCUCAGCAUUAGAUCACCUCAUUAUAUUCUUUCCAUACCAUCAUGCUCUUUGCCUGACAAAGCAAUUCACAUUCUAUGUCAAAACAUAUUUGACAGUUGGGGUCUAAUUCUAAAAUCACCAGAUACCAAAUGUACAACAGUUUUGUCUUUCUGCCAUCACAAAAUAAAAAUGUUUA